GGGGACAGGCGGAGGAGGGGGCGCGGCGGACGACACUGGUUUUGACGGUUGGCUAGAGACUACCGAGUCCUACUCUGAGGCCGCGGCACCCACAAUCUUGGGGCUUCUGGGUCUUGCCUGCCCUGGUUCGGCCACCGAGACCCACGUUCCCUGCGGCCCGCGGUCGGGGUCUAGGGAGUUGGCUGUGUAAGUGACGAGAGCUCAUGGACUGUAAGUUGGAAAGGAGUGCUCAGAGAACAGAGUCACUGGUGUGGCCCGGACAAGAAGGUUUCCCAGAGGACGGAGGUGAAGAUGGACUCUCUGAGAGCUUCCAGCUUCUGCAGAUGGAUGUGGAGUGCGAGCACCAAGAGGAAGAGGUCUGCCCUGCAAACAGUGCGACAUGGAGCUCGAAAAAUGUGCAGAGAAAACAGAGACACUGGGAAAGGAUAGUCUCCUCGAAGAAGAGCAAAAGGAAGCAGGAAAAAGAAAGAAGAAAAGUCAAACGUGCAGAACACCCAGGUAACGAUAACUGCACCUGCCCCCAGCACAGCAAACGCUUUUUGAAAGCCUUAACCAAAGAGAGACUUUUGGAAGCCAAACACUCAGGACCAAGACUGUGUGUUGACUUGAGCAUGACUCACCACAUGUCAAAGAAGGAAUUGAGUAGGCUGGCGGGACAGCUUCGAAGGUUGUAUGGUUCAAACAAAAAAGCCAGCAGGCCCUUUUGGAUCUGCCUCACUGGAUUCUCAACUGACAGUCCCCUCUAUGAAGAGUGUUUGAGGAUGAAUGAUGGAUUUUCUGCGUACUUGCUAGAUGUAACAGAAGAAGACUGCUUUAGUUUAUUUCCUCUGGAGACCCUUGUGUACCUGACUCCCGACUCAGAACAGGCCCUUGAAGACAUUGAUCAAAACACAGUUUACAUCAUUGGUGGACUUGUAGAUGAAAGCAUUCAGAAGAAGGUGACAUUUCAAAAAGCUCGAGACUACUCUGUGAAGACAGCCCGCUUGCCGAUCCAGGAAUACAUGGUCAGGCGUCAGAAUGAGAAAAACUACCAUUCAGAAGUGCUGGCCAUCAAUCAAGGUACUGCUCACGCAGCCCAGCCCAACAUGCCUCCUUCCUGGCCAUUUCCUAGUCCUUUUUCGUGGGCGGCACUGUUAACUGUUUUCUCGGACCUGCCUUGAGUACAGUGCCCCCAUGAUCCAGUCUCCUGUGACUCAUAUACCUAGACGCUCCUUCAUGUACUUGCUGGCAGGCGUUUCUCAUUUCCUUUGUUCCUGGGUGACAGUACCCCUUUGCCUAGAAUGCUGGCCCUGCCAUCUACUUUGAUUGGCUGGCAUCUUUGCUCUAUAGGCUUCAGUUCAGGAGCAUCUCAGGGGCCUUUCCUCCCACUGCAGCCCCCGUCAGGCCCUUGUCUGUGUUGCCAUGGUGCUGCAUUCCUCUGUUGCGGUGUUACCUAUUAACAGGCCUCUCCUCAGAUGUUUGAUGUCCUGUCCACUUACUUUGAGACUCACAGCUGGCCUGAAGCAUUGAAGAAAGGAGUUUCUCCGGGAAAAGGCUACAUUCUUCGGAAUGCAAUGGAAUGAUGGGCAG
Peromyscus californicus insignis is the source of this 1569-nucleotide RNA transcript. It is a transcript of the gene named tRNA methyltransferase 10B, with no coding region annotated. The record is from RefSeq and is a predicted model, not a curated record. The transcript has 9 exons. Lineage: Eukaryota; Metazoa; Chordata; Mammalia; Rodentia; Cricetidae.